Xiphophorus couchianus (Monterrey platyfish) is the source of this 659-nucleotide long non-coding RNA. RefSeq lists it as uncharacterized. The record is from RefSeq and is a predicted model, not a curated record. The transcript has 4 exons. Lineage: Eukaryota; Metazoa; Chordata; Actinopteri; Cyprinodontiformes; Poeciliidae.
CCAAAGUCAAACUGUCAUGGCCAGCUGCAACUUAUUUGGAUUUGAAGUCACAAGACGCCCUAAAGGAGAUCAUCCAGACAGUUUGUUAUAAAUCAACUUCUGGACCAAAUUCUACCGAUGGCGGCCAUUGUUGCCUUCUUAACGCUCCCACAGAGGAGACUGAGCCAGCCCUUGUUGCUACGUCAGAGGAAAUUGUGUUCCCAUGGUACAUCCCAUGCUGUAGAAGUUGUCCUUGUAUUCAUGGCGGUGUUCCUGGACGGUUAUGGUGGAGCCCACUCCUUUGGAUGUGCACAUCUUGUUUGCUGAUGGAUUCCUAAAGAAAAAAAAAAAAACAAUCCGCCUCUACAUCAUUUUCCCGUCCUGAUGCAACCUUUGGACCUCUCUCUGCUUUUCAGAUGUUAUUGGCCCAACAGAUAAGAGGUUUCAUUGGCAGUCGUGCUGAAACAAGGAUGCAGCAAUAUCAAAGUCUAUCAGAUGAACCCAGAUUGAAAUGCUGCCUCCAAUCUCUCCUCUCAAUUAUCUGCUGAAUGGCGCCGGCGCUGAGGCUUUUGUGUGCGGAUGCCUGCGAACGCAGCAGUCAUAGAAGCUCUUUAUAGGCUCAAGGCUGCAUGUUGCUAAAUGAGUGAAGAACAGGACAAUUAAAAGGCAGCUGAAAUGAA